UGGGGAAUCUUGGACAAUGGGCGAAAGCCUGAUCCAGCAAUGCCGCGUGAGUGAUGAAGGCCUUAGGGUUGUAAAGCUCUUUUACCAGGGAUGAUAAUGACAGUACCUGGAGAAUAAGCUCCGGCUAACUCCGUGCCAGCAGCCGCGGUAAUACGGAGGGAGCUAGCGUUGUUCGGAAUUACUGGGCGUAAAGCGCACGUAGGCGGUUAUUCAAGUCAGAGGUGAAAGCCCGGGGCUCAACCCCGGAACGGCCUUUGAAACUAGAUAGCUAGAAUCUUGGAGAGGUCAGUGGAAUUCCGAGUGUAGAGGUGAAAUUCGUAGAUAUUCGGAAGAACACCAGUGGCGAAGGCGACUGACUGGACAAGUAUUGACGCUGAGGUACGAAAGCGUGGGGAGCAAACAGGAUUAGAUACCCACGUAGUCCCUGAGCGGGCUGGCAAGGCGCAU
This 447-nucleotide ribosomal RNA is filed under the name uncultured bacterium. Its description in RNAcentral is "bacterial SSU rRNA". It matches the Rfam family "Bacterial small subunit ribosomal RNA", at positions 355 to 825 of the family's 1533-position model. The record is from RNAcentral.